CCGGGUAGUCCCCAGCUGUAACGAUGCAGACUCGGUGAUGGCUGGCCUUGUGCCAGCCCAGUGCCGCAGGGAAGCCGUUAAGUCUGCCGCCUGGGGAGUACGGUUCCGCAAGACUGAAACUUAAAGGAAUUGGCGGGGGAGCACCACAAGGGGNUGAAGCCUUGCGGUUCAAUUGNGGAAGUCAAACGCCGGGAAUUCUUACCNGGGGGCGACAGCAGAGUGAAGGUCAAGCUGAAGACUUUACCAGACAAGCUGAGAGGAGGUGCAUGGCCGUCGCCAGCUCGUGCCGUGAGGUGUCCUGUUAAGUCAGGUAACGAGCGAGAUCCCUGCUUUUAGUUGCUACCACUACUCUCAGGAGGAGUGGGGCUAAUUAAAAGGACUGCCGCCGCUAAGGCGGAGGAAGGAGGGGGCUACGGCAGGUCAGUAUGCCCCGAAACCCUCGGGCCACACGCGGGCUGCAAUGGUAAGGACAAUGGGCUCCGAUUCCGAAAGGAGGAGGCAAUCCCUAAACCUUACCUCAGUUAUGAUUGAGGGCUGAAACUCGCCCUCAUGAAUAUGGAAUCCCUAGUAACCGCGUGUCAUUAUCGCGCGGUGAUACGUCCUGCUCCUUGCACACA
RNAcentral lists this ribosomal RNA (617 nucleotides) under uncultured crenarchaeote. Its description in RNAcentral is "bacterial SSU rRNA". It matches the Rfam family "Archaeal small subunit ribosomal RNA", at positions 737 to 1345 of the family's 1478-position model. The record is from RNAcentral. Lineage: Archaea; Thermoproteati; Thermoproteota.